Molecule: ribosomal RNA, 253 nt
Filed under: uncultured bacterium
Lineage: Bacteria
Description: partial 16S ribosomal RNA
Rfam family: Bacterial small subunit ribosomal RNA
Source: RNAcentral
UACGAAGGGGGCCAGCGUUGCUCGGAAUCACUGGGCGUAAAGCGCACGUAGGCGGCUUUUUAAGUCAGGGGUGAAAUCCUGGAGCUCAACUCCAGAACUGCCUUUGAUACUGAGAAGCUUGAGUCCGGGAGAGGUGAGUGGAACUGCGAGUGUAGAGGUGAAAUUCGUAGAUAUUCGCAAGAACACCAGUGGCGAAGGCGGCUCACUGGCCCGGUACUGACGCUGAGGUGCGAAAGCGUGGGGAGCAAACAGG